This 253-nucleotide ribosomal RNA is filed under the name uncultured bacterium. RNAcentral describes it as "partial 16S ribosomal RNA". It matches the Rfam family "Bacterial small subunit ribosomal RNA", at positions 524 to 776 of the family's 1533-position model. The record is from RNAcentral.
GACGAACUGUGCAAACGUUAUUCGGAAUCACUGGGCUUGAAGAGUGCGUAGGCGGUUUCGUAAGUAGGGUGUGAAAGCCCCCGGCUCAACCUCGGAACUGCCUUCGAUACUGCGGGUCUCGAGUCCGGGAGAGGUGAGUGGAAUUCCUAGUGUAGAGGUGAAAUUCGUAGAUAUUAGGAAGAACACCAGUGGCGAGGGCGGCUCACUGGCCCGGUACUGACGCUGAGGCGCGAAAGCGUGGGGAGCAAACAGG